RNAcentral lists this ribosomal RNA (206 nucleotides) under uncultured bacterium. Its description in RNAcentral is "partial 16S ribosomal RNA". It matches the Rfam family "Bacterial small subunit ribosomal RNA", at positions 1297 to 1500 of the family's 1533-position model. The record is from RNAcentral.
ACUGUAGGCUGCAACUCGCCUACACGAAGCUGGAAUCGCUAGUAAUCGCGGAUCAGCACGCCGCGGUGAAUACGUUCCCGGGCCUUGUACACACCGCCCGUCACACCAUGAGAGUCUGUAACACCCAAAGCCGGUGGGAUAACCUUUAUAGGAGUCAGCCGUCUAAGGUAGGACAGAUGAUUAGGGUGAAGUCGUAACAAGGUAUC